Molecule: ribosomal RNA, 458 nt
Filed under: uncultured bacterium
Lineage: Bacteria
Description: partial 16S ribosomal RNA
Rfam family: Bacterial small subunit ribosomal RNA
Source: RNAcentral
CCUACGGGAGGCAGCAGUGAGGAAUAUUGGUCAAUGGGCGAGAGCCUGAACCAGCCAAGUCGCGUGAGGGAGUACUGCCCUAUGGGUUGUAAACCUCUUUUGUCGGGGAGCAAAAGCCGGACGUGUCCGGCUGUGAGAGUACCCGAAGAAAAAGCAUCGGCUAACUCCGUGCCAGCAGCCGCGGUAAUACGGAGGAUGCGGGCGUUAUCCGGAUUUAUUGGGGUUAAAGGGUGCGCAGGCGGAUUUUUAAGUCAGCGGUCAAAUCGUGGGGCUCAACCCCAUCGAGCCGUUGAAACUGGGGAUCUAGAGUGUGCGAGAGGUAUGCGGAAUGCGUGGUGUAGCGGUGAAAUGCAUAGAUAUCACGCAGAACCCCGAUUGCGAAGGCAGCAUACCGGUGCACAACUGACGCUCAGGCACGAAAGCGUGGGUAUCGAACAGGAUUAGAUACCCGUGUAGUC